This 499-nucleotide unclassified non-coding RNA is filed under the name uncultured Glomus. RNAcentral's name for it is "SSU rRNA". It matches the Rfam family "Eukaryotic small subunit ribosomal RNA", at positions 591 to 1092 of the family's 1831-position model. The record is from RNAcentral. Lineage: Eukaryota; Fungi; Glomeromycota; Glomeromycetes; Glomerales; Glomeraceae.
CCAAUAGCGUAUAUUUAAGUUGUUGCAGUUAAAAAGCUCGUAGUUGAAUUUCGGGAUCAAUUUGUCGGUCGUGCCUCGGUACGUACUGGCAUUAUUGGUUUCUCCCUUCUGACGAACCACGAUGUCAUUAAUUUGGUGUCGCGGGAAAUCAGGACUGUUACUUUGAAAAAAUUAGAGUGUUUAAAGCAAGCUCACGCUUGAAUACAUUAGCAUGGAAUAAUGAAAUAGGACGUUUGAUUCUAUUUUGUUGGUUUCUAGGAUCGACGUAAUGAUUAAUAGGGAUAGUUGGGGGCAUUAGUAUUCAAUUGUCAGAGGUGAAAUUCUUGGAUUUAUUGAAGACUAACUACUGCGAAAGCAUUUGCCAAGGAUGUUUUCAUUAAUCAAGAACGAAAGUUAGGGGAUCGAAGACGAUCAGAUACCGUCGUAGUCUUAACCAUAAACUAUGCCGACUAGGGAUCGGAUGAUGUUAAUUUUUUAAUGACUCAUUCGGCGCCUUACG